GGUCCGCCAGAACGCGCUCGACGGUGAGGGAUGAAAGCUGGGGGAGCGAACCGGAUUAGAUACCCGGGUAGUCCCAGCUGUAAACGAUGCGAGCUAGGUGGAUGGGAUGAUUUAAGUUAUCCCUGUGCCGCAGGGAAGCCGUUAAGCUUGCCGCCUGGGGAGUAC
RNAcentral lists this ribosomal RNA (165 nucleotides) under uncultured crenarchaeote. RNAcentral's name for it is "partial 16S ribosomal RNA". It matches the Rfam family "Archaeal small subunit ribosomal RNA", at positions 674 to 838 of the family's 1478-position model. The record is from RNAcentral. Lineage: Archaea; Thermoproteati; Thermoproteota.